GUGGGGAAUAUUGGGCAAUGGGCGAAAGCCUGAUCCAGCAAUGCCGCGUGCAGGAAGAAGGCCUUCGGGUUGUAAACUGCUUUUGUACGGAACGAAACGGUCCUGGCUAAUAUCCGGGGCUAAUGACGGUACCGUAAGAAUAAGCACCGGCUAACUACGUGCCAGCAGCCGCGGUAAUACGUAGGGUGCGAGCGUUAAUCGGAAUUACUGGGCGUAAAGCGUGCGCAGGCGGUGCUGUAAGACAGGCGUGAAAUCCCCGGGCUCAAGCUGGGAAUUGCGCUUGUGACUGCAGUGCUGGAGUGCUGCAGAGGGGGAUGAAAUUCCGCGUGUAGCAGUGAAAUGCGUAGAUAUGCGGAGGAACACCGAUGGCGAAGGCAAUCCCCUGGGCCUGCACUGACGCUCAUGCACGAAAGCGUGGGGAGCAAACAGGAUUAGAAACCCCUGUAGUCC
Molecule: ribosomal RNA, 450 nt
Filed under: uncultured bacterium
Lineage: Bacteria
Description: partial 16S ribosomal RNA
Rfam family: Bacterial small subunit ribosomal RNA
Source: RNAcentral